RNAcentral lists this ribosomal RNA (626 nucleotides) under uncultured fungus. RNAcentral describes it as "SSU rRNA". It matches the Rfam family "Eukaryotic small subunit ribosomal RNA", at positions 532 to 1160 of the family's 1831-position model. The record is from RNAcentral. Lineage: Eukaryota; Fungi.
CCUUAACGAGGAACAAUUGGAGGGCAAGUCUGGUGCCAGCAGCCGCGGUAAUUCCAGCUCCAAUAGCGUAUAUUAAAGUUGUUGCAGUUAAAAAGCUCGUAGUUGAACCUUGGGCCUGGCUGGCCGGUCCGCCUCACCGCGUGCACUGGUCCGGCCGGGCCUUUCCUCCUGGGGAGCCGCAUGCCCUUCACUGGGUGUGCCGGGGAACCAGGACUUUUACUUUGAAAAAAUUAGAGUGUUCAAAGCAGGCCUAUGCUCGAAUACAUUAGCAUGGAAUAAUAGAAUAGGACGUGUGGUUCUAUUUUGUUGGUUUCUAGGACCGCCGUAAUGAUUAAUAGGGAUAGUCGGGGGCAUCAGUAUUCAAUUGUCAGAGGUGAAAUUCUUGGAUUUAUUGAAGACUAACUACUGCGAAAGCAUUUGCCAAGGAUGUUUUCAUUAAUCAGUGAACGAAAGUUAGGGGAUCGAAGACGAUCAGAUACCGUCGUAGUCUUAACCAUAAACUAUGCCGACUAGGGAUCGGGCGAUGUUAUCUUUUUGACUCGCUCGGCACCUUUACGAGAAAAUCAAAGUCUUUGGGUUCUGGGGGGAGUAUGGUCGCAAGGCUGAAACUUAAAGAAAUUGACGGA